ACACUCUUAGCUCAAUAGGUUUAGAGCAUUAAUCUUCGAAAUUAAAAGUUAUGGGUUCAAAUCCCAUAGAGUGUU
This 75-nucleotide transfer RNA is filed under the name Mycoemilia scoparia. It matches the Rfam family "tRNA". Rfam says of the family: Transfer RNA (tRNA) molecules are approximately 80 nucleotides in length. Their secondary structure includes four short double-helical elements and three loops (D, anti-codon, and T loops). Further hydrogen bonds mediate the characteristic L-shaped molecular structure. tRNAs have two regions of fundamental functional importance: the anti-codon, which is responsible for specific mRNA codon recognition, and the 3' end, to which the tRNAs corresponding amino acid is attached (by aminoacyl-tRNA synthetases). tRNAs cope with the degeneracy of the genetic code in two manners: having more than one tRNA (with a specific anti-codon) for a particular amino acid; and 'wobble' base-pairing, i.e. permitting non-standard base-pairing at the 3rd anti-codon position. Lineage: Eukaryota; Fungi; Kickxellomycota; Kickxellomycetes; Kickxellales; Kickxellaceae. The record is from Rfam by way of RNAcentral.